This is a non-coding RNA of Maylandia zebra (zebra mbuna), 915 nucleotides long. NCBI's taxonomy places the organism in Eukaryota, Metazoa, Chordata, Actinopteri, Cichliformes, Cichlidae. The record is from RefSeq and is a predicted model, not a curated record.
GUUGAGUGGUUGAGAUGAAUUCCAGCAUUUUCUGGAAAAGCAUACAGAGAUCACAAAAGAAAAGAAAAACGAUCAGGCUUAAAAAAGAAUGCUUCAGAGGACAAAGCCGGCUGUUAAAACGUCAAAUCGUGUCUCACGAUGCCCUCAGAAAGACCUCUGUAAAGAAGUAAAUCAGCCAUCUAUCACAACAAAUAGUCCUCUGACGAUGGAUGAAACACUUCCUCGAGCGCGCAGCCUGACCACAGCACAUGCCCCGCCAAUAUUGUUGGAUAAAUCGACUGUUCCCCGAGGACAAAUGCUGCCAGUGUGCCAGGAUCAAUUUCUCUCUGCCUCAUUUCAAUUUGUGGAAAAUAACUGGAUAAAUUCAGCCACCGCAUUUAUGAAUGCAACUUCAUGUGCUUUCACAUCAGCAGAUAUCAGCCACACUUUUUUACCCAGCUCAUCUUCAAGCCAUAUGUUAUGGGAUGCUGCUUCUCACCAGGUGGAUCCUGUUACUUUCCUAUCAGGUCAUUGUGGCCAAGCCUAUACCCCACCUGAAAAAACUGAAGUGUGUUACACUGACUUACCUCAGGUUAGCCAACCUGACAUUGUAUCAGUAGAUUUUACAAGCCAACUAGUUAUCUCACCAUGUAAACUUCAAAGGGAACCUUCAAGCUCUGAUGACGUCACUCUUGCAGUUUCAGAAGCUUUGUGCGAUUCAAGACUUUUCCCAGACAGUGCCAACUGCAGUAGCCUUUUAACAGACAGUCAGUGUGAUGUGGUUAGUCCAUUUUGGCUCGAUUUGCUUUUGGAUAGCAGUAGUAACUUGUGCUUCCCUGAUCCUAAUCUUGUAGAUUUUGUCCUUUCCCCUGAAACGGGUCCUGAUUAAGUACAAAGUUACUGCAACUUUGCAGUUUGAAAUGACCAGCUAGUAGA